GCAGGGAGGCAUAUCGGGCAUUGACAACCACACCUGUAGAAGCUCUGAAACAGUUUGUUCCCAGUGAUCCCAGGAGGAGUCGGAUCCUGGUGCACUCCUUCCUCCCAGUGGAGCCCUGCAGCAGCCUGGACGACGCCCCCAUCACAGACUCUCUCCGCUGGAUUUGACUUGGAAAAUGUCAGGUUCAGAAGAGUCUCCAGUCCCAGGUUCAGAAGAGUCUCCAAGUCCCAUGUUCAGAAGAGUCUCCAGUCCCAGGUUCAGAAGAGUCUCCAGUCCCAGGUUCAGAAGGUCUCCAGUCCCAGGUUCAGAGAGGUCUCCAGUCCCAGGUUCAGAAGAGUCUCCAAGUCCCAGGGUUCAGAAGAGUCUCCAGUCCCAGGUUCAGAAGAGUCUCC
Long non-coding RNA from Gymnodraco acuticeps, 392 nucleotides. RefSeq lists it as uncharacterized. The record is from RefSeq and is a predicted model, not a curated record. Lineage: Eukaryota; Metazoa; Chordata; Actinopteri; Perciformes; Bathydraconidae. The transcript has 3 exons.